RNAcentral lists this ribosomal RNA (253 nucleotides) under uncultured bacterium. RNAcentral's name for it is "partial 16S ribosomal RNA". It matches the Rfam family "Bacterial small subunit ribosomal RNA", at positions 524 to 776 of the family's 1533-position model. The record is from RNAcentral.
UACGGAGGGUGCGAACGUUAAUCGGAAUUACUGGGCGUAAAGCGCGCGUAGGCGGAUCGCUAAGUCAGGGGUGAAAUCCCAGGGCUCAACCCUGGAACUGCCUCUGAUACUAACAAUCUGGAGAUCGGGAGAGGUUGGUGGAAUUCCGAGUGUAGAGGUGAAAUUCGUAGAUAUUCGGAGGAACACCAGAAGCGAAGGCGGCCAACUGGCCCGAUACUGACGCUGAGGCGCGAAAGCGUGGGGAGCAAACAGG